RNAcentral lists this transfer RNA (71 nucleotides) under Heliconius melpomene (postman butterfly). RNAcentral describes it as "tRNA HMEL015205". It matches the Rfam family "tRNA". Rfam says of the family: Transfer RNA (tRNA) molecules are approximately 80 nucleotides in length. Lineage: Eukaryota; Metazoa; Arthropoda; Insecta; Lepidoptera; Nymphalidae. The record is from RNAcentral.
UCAUCGGUGGUUCAGUGGUAGAAUGUUCGCCUGCCACGCGGGUGGCCCGUGUUCGCUUCCCGGCCAAUGCA